Non-coding RNA from Lactuca sativa (garden lettuce), 2787 nucleotides. Lineage: Eukaryota; Viridiplantae; Streptophyta; Magnoliopsida; Asterales; Asteraceae. The record is from RefSeq and is a predicted model, not a curated record.
CUUGUUGUUGAACUUCAAAACCUGUUCGUCUGGAACUUUACUACUAAAGGGAGUGGGUGGUGCUAAGCCUCGCCCCUAUCAUCGCUACCAAUUCGCUACUCCACCCCAUUGGUUAUGUUAAAUGGCUUGCAAAGAACCCACCAAGGAGAGAGAUAGAUAGAUAGAUAGAGAGAGGGAGGGAGGGAGAGAGAGAUGAUUGACUCUUUUUUUUUUUUUUGUGAUUCAGCCCCUAAUCUCCUCUUCACAAACUUUGAGUUAUUCGCAGUUUGGUUUGCGGUAUUCCUUCUCUUCCUGAAAACCAAUUGGGUAAAGUCAUGAUUGAAUUGACAUGUUUUCAGCUUUGACAAUUUCACAAAUAGGUUAGAGAAAGGGAGAGAUGAGUAAUGCAGCCAAUGUGUUCGACGAAAUGCAAUCGAUUGUUAUUGGGAAGGACAAGACAUGAAAAUCUGACUUUGAUAGAAAUGGACCUCUAAAAAUCUCAGACUUACACAUCACACCCUCAUCUUAAUUUCUCUCACAAACCAAGUUUCUGAAAUUACCAAAAGGACCACGCAUUUAAAUAUUAUACUUAUUUUCAUGUAAUUGAUUAUACAAUAUAUUAAAUUUAUCCACCCAAAGUGGCUAAGGGUUGGCAAAAUUAGUCCUUUCUUUAUUUGUCUAUGUUUAAACGUGAGACAUUUUGCCCAAUUUUGGUCCCUUAAAUUACAUUUUCGGUCCCUCUAUUUUUGUUUGUGUCUCGCUUUACCGCUCAUCUUCUCGCUUAAUAUGCAUACAACCGCUUCCUCUUCCAAUAACAAACCACCGCUACUACAUUCACCGCCAUAUGAUGCAGAAGAACCCACCACCGACAGUGGAUUACACGUGAUGGCCAGGUGUUAUCUCCUCAAACAAUCCACCGCCCAUACACACUUUUCUCAAUGUUACCCACCGCUUCCCAUUCUAUAAUCUCUUUGUAUUCUUCUCUACCGCUUCUUCUUUGCCUUAUUCCUCCGUCGCCUUACAGUUAACACUUUGAGUUCUCGAUCCUUCCAUCCUCUAAUCGAUGUCUCCACCGAUUGCUUCUUCUUCCGCCUUCUCUCUUCGAUCGCUGUGAAUGCCGGCAACCACAACCCUACGACCGUUCGUAUUAGACACAGAGGAAAAUCAAACGCGUCGGCAACACCAGUCUCAACCACCACAGCCAUAACUCAUCGAUAAGGUCACUAAUUAGUCACCUUCUUGCGUUUUUUUAUUUCUUUCAGCUGAGGUCGAAUCCUGUUUCCCAACCAGGAGAGCUCAACAGCUUCAGCGUCGACGAUCGUUGCAAUUAGUGGAGUCAGGGGCAGACGCAAGCUACCAGGUAUGGAGGAGUUGUUAUAUUAUUAUUUCCAUUUCCAGUAUUGGGGAUUCCCUACUCAUCACAUCUUCGUCUCAUUUUUCUACACCUCCACCUCCGCUUCCUCCUCUAUCGAUUCUUCGGUGAUAGCUUGGUCAUGACAUUCUAAGGUCGUAUACCGGGAAGUAUUUUUAUUUAUAUUAUUCUUCAUUUUAAUCAUGUGGGUUGGCCGUUCUAUUCCAUCAUUCAUACUCCUAGGGUAGAGGGUGUCCUGGCUCCAACAGUAUCCCAAUACACCACUGCCUAAUGGGUGGUUUCCGGCAGAUCUUGGCUCACUUUAGUAGGAGAUGACGAUAAGAAGGUGGGAGGAAGUGGUGCUCACCGCCUUUCAUUAGCUGCUUAAAAUAUAGUUGUGUCUCUAACUGUUUGUCCCUUUUUGUUUUGUUGUCUUCUUCUUUGGCUUUCUCUCAUGUUAUUUAUAUUGGUAUUUGUUGGAAACUCCAUUUUGGUUUGUCUACCCUACUUGAUUAAGUAGACUCUUAGUUUAGUUGAUUCUGACAUUUAUAAUUGGAUCUAUUCAUCCAUACUCAAACUCCUUUUAAACUCCCUGUUUUAUGUCUUUCAGGACCAACAGGUGGCAUCAGACUAGAAACGACGCCAUUCCGUUGUGAUUGACCAUAACAAUGGUCAACAAACAGAUUUUUAUGUCUGAAUUGGCCUUUGGGUUUUCAGCAGCACUAAGCCAGAAAACAGGAGAAGGGUAAUAUCAUCCAAACAAAAACCAUGGAUUCACCAGCAACCAGAAUCACCAACAGGGAUGCUCUAGCAAUGUGAAGGUGGCGUGGUGUUUUAUUUGGAUGGAGUACAUAGUCCUGAAAGCAUGGAAGUUGGUUCAAAUUGGUUUUACAUAGUAAUUGUUGGUGAUAACUCCAGGAAGGAUUCUGCACAGGUUAGAAAAAUAAAAGCACAGGAUUGUGAUAUGGAAAUGUUGGUACUUUUUUUCGAAUAAUUAGGAGUUGAUAGUUGUAUUCAAAUGGAAUUCGCCUUAAAAGUCGCAAGAAAGAUUAGAAUAAGAGAGAUGUUUGCAGCUUAUGUUGUCAUACCAAUGUACCAAUAUGGCUUGCAGUUGUUCCGUCAUCUACUGUUGUCCAACAAAUUAUCUAUUCGAAGAGCGAGAGUUGAGGUGGUUGGGCACUUACCUACAAAGCUUUUUAGUAGAACUCCGGAGGAUGCAAUCCCCACGUAGCUGAAACAGCUUCAGCAACAUAUCAUUCCUUCAGUUUUCUUAAUUUUCAUAAUCUAUUAUAAAAUGUAGACUUGAAUAAUGCAUUGCAUUUACAUAAUAUGUGGCCUUUUUCAUGUAGGGUUUAGAUGGGGUUCGUCUACAAAUGAAUUUAAAUUAAAUGCAAAAAUAUUAUAUAUUUAUGCACUUAAAUUUGUUCAGUUAAUAACAGCCAUGCAUUGAGAGCACA